GCCGUGGUGGUGAAAUUGGUAGACACGCCAGCUUGAGGGGCUGGUGUCCGAAAGGACGUGCGGGUUCAAGUCCCGCCCACGGCA
RNAcentral lists this transfer RNA (84 nucleotides) under Moritella sp. PE36. RNAcentral's name for it is "tRNA-Leu". It matches the Rfam family "tRNA". Rfam says of the family: Transfer RNA (tRNA) molecules are approximately 80 nucleotides in length. Their secondary structure includes four short double-helical elements and three loops (D, anti-codon, and T loops). Lineage: Bacteria; Pseudomonadati; Pseudomonadota; Gammaproteobacteria; Alteromonadales; Moritellaceae. The record is from RNAcentral. RNAcentral also lists the same sequence under 1 other name.